CUGUGACCUUCAAAACAACCCGGAAGCCUCAGGUUUGUGAACAGCACAGGUGGGAUGACAUUUUGUGCUUCCAGGGGCUCCCCCACCGCCAGGCACAUUAGUUUCGUCCUUGCUACCGCUUUCGUUCUGCCUGGCCAGGGAAGUGUCUGUGUCCUCCUCCUCACCUCCAUUUCCUCCACGUGCAGUGGCUGAAAUAGAUCUGCGCCUGCAAGGCUGGAGACCCAACUGUAAUUUCCUUAAGGUUACAACAAAUAUGUAGCAAAGCUGGAGCUGCAACAGGAACACUGGUGCCAGGACCUGUGUUGUUAAUCAGUAUAUGGAUAUGACUUCAUAGAGAUAUACUUUGCUUAUCCACCACAAUGAAAAAUGUAUGGAUUUGAGUGGAAUGGAGCUCAGUGGCUUGAGACCUCUGAUUUCUUCUUUCUCCAUCUUGGAUGACAACACAAGUAAGAGAGCUGUUGAAGUGACCUCUGUAAACCAUGAAACAGAGAAUUUCAAUAGAACAUUCAUACAUAUUUUUUAAUUUGUGAAAGAAUGGAAUACUAUGUAAUUAUUUUUAUGGAAAUGGACUGGCUUAAAAAGGAAUGAGGAAAAGUUAUAGAAGUUAUAAUGAACUUGUAAUGUGAUAAAUGUUAUGAAUAUAUAAUGUAAUAAAAUAUAAAUAUGCAUAAAGUGUUUUAAUAUAUAAAGUGUACAAAAUUAUAAUGUGAUAACAUAUUAUGAAUUCAUGAUGGAGUGUAUAUCAUAAAUGGGCAACACUGUACAAUAAUUGUGCUCUAAGUUUUGGCAGAAUCUUUCAUUCUUAAUAUUCAUGGUGAGACAUGUUUUAGCUUUGAUUCCACACUGGCUUUGUUAAGCAUGAGUUUGGCUGCUGGCAUGAGGUUAAGAAGCACAUGAAGGCAAUGUACUGUCCUAAUGUGUGGAUUCGUUAGUUGUGAGAGAACAGGACUGCAUCCCAUGUUUAGCACAGUGUCAACUUAUAGGUGCUCUGUACAUAGUGACGCAAGUACAAAUCAUUAAAGAUUUGGGAUGAGCACAGAGGAAGGAGAGUUAACCUUCCUGAAGACAGGGAAUGGACAGAUUCUUUUUUUUGAGGAAAGCUCCAUACUUAUGUAUUUCUUUUCUCUAUAAUCAUUUUAAUUUUGUUAGAGCGAUGACAGUUUCUUUGGAUAUCUUCGCUGUGCACUCCGUCAGCAGAAUUUGAUUAUGAAUGUGGGCUCUGAAUCAUUACUGCCUGAGUUUGCGCUCAAGCUCCUACUUAGUAUUUACUUUGAGACUCUGGAAAUCUUUACUUAUGGAAAUUUUGAAAUAGUUACAAAAUCAUUAAAAUUAUAGCAGUAUGUAAUCCUCAUCAAUUUGUUUGACAAAUAUUUAAAGCAAAACACUGUAUUUGCAGCAAAUUGAUGCACACAAGCAUUUCUUUCUUUUUCACUAAGCCUCUCUUACCUCAAUUUCCUCAUCUGUAGUAUUGGGCUAAUAAUCAUACUUGCCUGAUAGCGCUGUCCUGAGAAUAAACAUUAUGAAUGAAUAAAUGUAAGCUACUUAUAAUAUUGUUUCAACCCAAAGUGAGGGCUGCAAAUUGCUUCUUACUUCUGUUAAGUCCAAUCACGCUGUUGAUAAGGUAUACUGAAGAAAACAGAGAAUACCAAGAGUUUUCAAAGUGGACAAUAUUACAUGAAAGCUGUUGCUUAAUGGAUGACUAGGAAAAAUAGAGACUGAGCUCAUUUAAUUGGAUCUAGUCACUGGCAAUUUGUUAAUUACAGUGUGGGAGACCAAGACAGAGCAGCAAAAGGCGGGGCUGGCUUCCUGGCUGAUGAUUAAGGCCCUGCUUUGUUACAAUUAGUGGGGAUAAUUAGACAAUGGCUCUGCUGAGUGAGGGGAUCAAAUGAGCCACUGAAUCAGAACUAUCGGAUUGAAUGAUAUUAGUUGAUUUCCAUUCAUUAAUUUUAAUGAAUUCUUUUCACUGGACUAGAGAUAGAACAGCGUGCAGUCAUUGGUUUUAAUGGUGAGCGGAUGCUGCAGCCGAGCAAUACUGGAACCAGUACUCUGUAGAAAUCUGAACACACCCUUUAGUCCCAGCUGCCCCAGAGUCCCAGCUGCCCCUGCCAGAGCUGCUACCUUUUGUUCUCUACUGGUUCUUUUCAGUGAUGGCUUACUUCACAAAAAUUGCAUCACUUACUCUGUAGAGCAAUCUUUUUUAAAAUUUAUUUUAUUUAUUUGAAAGAGUUACAGAGAGAGGAGCAAUCUUUGAAGGUAGUUUUUGGGGUUGACAUUGUGGUGCAGUGGUUUGUAAAGCUGCCUCCUGUGAUGCUAGUAUUCUCUGUGAGCCCUUAUUCCAGCCCUGGCUGCUCCACUUCCAAUCCAGCUCCUUGCUAAUGUGCCUGGAAAACGCAGAUGAUGCCCCAAGUGCUUGGGCCCCUACCAUCCACCUGGAAGACUUGGAUGGAAUUCUAGGCUCCUGACUUCUGCCUGGCCCAGCCUUGCCUUUGUGGUCAUUUGGGGAAUGAACCAGUCGAUGAGAGAUCUCUCUCUUCCUCUAUCUCUAUAAUUCUAUCUUUCAAGUAAAUAACUAAAAUAAAAAAGGUAACUUUUGCUGUUCACGUUCAAUUGCUUUGCAUGCAUCAUAUAAUUUAUUCUUUAAACUUUUAUCCAGUUAAAAAAUAAUCUACCUUAACGUGAGAAAACUGAAGCUUACAGUUUACAUAACAGUACUAAUGUUCAAACCCAGUUCUUUAUUUUUAAAUAUUUUAUUUGAAAGGCAGAAACGCGAAAGAGAUGUAGAUGUCCCAAGUAGUCCCUUAACUACUGCACUAAAGACCUGCCCUCAAACCCAGAUUUUUAUCAUUUUAGUAUGCUUCAUAACCACUGUAUAUAUUUUAAAAGAUUUAUUUAUUAAUUUGAAAGUCUUACACAGAGAGAAGGAGAGGCAGAGAGAGAGAGAGAGAGAGAGAGAGAGGUCUUCCAUCCGCUGGUUCAUUCCCCAAUUGGCCAGAAUGGUCAGAACUCUGCUAAUCUGAAGCUGAGCUGAUCCAAAGCCAAGAGCCAGGAGCUAUAAAUCAGGAGCUUCUUCCGGGUCUCCCAGGUGGGUGCAGGGGCCCAAGCACUUGGCCAUAUUCUACUGCUUUCCCAGGCCAUAGCAGAGACCUGGAUGGAAGUAGAGUAGCCGGGAGUUGAACCAGUGAUCAUAUGGGAUGGCAGGCAAUGGCUUUACCGGCUAUGCCACAGCACCGGCCCCAACCAUUGUAUAUUACAUGUUACAUCACACUAUAUGUAUUACAUUAUAAUCUCUCUCAUGGUAUCCCAUGUGAUAGGAGCAGUUUCUGUACCCAAAGACCUCACGUUCUCCCUUCUCUCUCUCUUUUUUUUUAAUAUUUUUUAACAGGCAGAGUUAGACAGUGAGAGAGAGAGAGAGACAGAGAGAAAGGUCUUUCUUCCACUGGUUCACCCCCAAAAUGGCCGCUACGGCCAGUGUGCGGUGCUGAUCCGAAGCCAGGAGCCAGGUGCUUCCUCCUGGUCUCUCAUGCGGGUGCAGGGCCCAAGCACUUGGGCCAUCCUCCACUGCACUCCCGGGCCACAGCAGAGAGCUGGACUGGAAGAGGGGCAACUGGGACAGAACCAGUGCCCCAACUGGGACUAGAACCAGGGGUGCCGGCACCGCAGGCAGAGGAUUAGCCAAGUGAGCCGAGGCACCGGCCCCUUCUUCUCUGUCUUUAACAGCCAUAAAAUUAUUUCUUCCUUUAUAUCUUGCCAGUUAAGAUACUUAGAUCUUAAUAUGAGUCUCAAUUAUACUAAUCUUGUACUCCUGAUGAAUUGUGUGUUUAAAAUAUCCUUGUCUUAAUAUUCUACUCUCAUUUUUAUUUUACCCACUUUUUGUUUUUUUUCUUUUUGUAUUUUGCUCACUCUUGAUUUUUAAUACACUAAUUUAUAUAGAUUUUAUAAUUUUUAAAAUUUUAUAAUUUUUAUAAUUUAUAUAUGUCUUCUGAAGAAGUGUUUCACAUAUAUGACAGGAAAUAUCCAAAAAUAAAGAUAGAAUUUUUAAAGAUGGAACAGAAUCAUGGAUCUAAAACCAAUUCCUGGAGCAAGGACAGUCUAUUUAACAAGUGGUGCUGGGAAAACCGGAUUUCCACGUGCAGAAGCAUGAAGCAAGACUCCUAUCUUACACCUUACACAAAAAUCCACUCAACAUGGAUAAAAGAUCUAAAUCUAUGACCUGACACCAUCAAAUUAUUAGAGAACAUGGAGAAACCCUGCAAGAUAAGGCACAGGCAAAGACUUCUUGGAAAAGACCCCAGAGGCAUAGGCAGUCAAAGCCAAAAUUAACAAUUGGGUUUACAUCAAAUUGAGAAGUUUCUGUACUGCAAAAGAAACAGUCAGGAGAGUGAAAAGGCAACCAACAGAAUGGGUUGCAAACUAUGCAACCAAUAAAGGAUUAAUAACCAGAAUCUACAAAGAAAUCAAGAAACUCCACAACAACAAAACAAACAACCCACUUAAGAGAUGGGCCAAGGACCUCAACAGACAUUUUUCAAAAGAGGAAAUCCAAAUGGCCAACAGACACAUGAAAAAAUGUUCAAGAUCACUAGCAAUCAGGGAAAUGCAAAUCAAAACCACAAUGAGGUUUCACCUCACCCCUGUUAGAAUGGCUCACAUUCAGAAAUCUACCAACAAAGAGAUGCUGGAGAGGAUGUGGGGAAAAAGGGACACUAACCCACUGUUGGUGGGAAUGCAAACUGGUCAAGCCACUAUGGAAGUCAGUCUGGAGAUUCCUCAGAAAGCUGAAUAUAACCCUACCAUACAACCCAGCCAUCCCACUCCUUGGAAUUUAUCCAAAGGAAAUUAAAUUGGCAAAUAAAAGAGUUGUCUGAGUGAAAUAAGCCAGUCCCAAAGAGACAAAUAGCAUAUGUUCUCCCUAAUUUUUGACAACUAACUGAGCACCUAAAAGGAAACCUGUUGAAGUGGAAAUGGCACCAUGAGAAACAAUGACUUGGUUAGCUCUUGUCCUGACUGUCAAGGAACAACUUACUAUUUUAUCCCUUUUAGUUUUUUUUUUUGUUGUUCUAGUUAAUACUAUUGGUUUAACUCUUUAAUUAACACAUAAUUUUCUUAGGUGUUUAAAUUUAACUGAAAAGUGAUCCGUGUUAAAUAUAAGAAUGGGAAUAAGAGAGGGAGGAGAUGUACAGUUCGGCACAUGCUCACUUGGACUUACCCCUAACAGUAGAGUUAGAAACGUGCCAGGCGAUUCCAAUUCACCAUCAAGGUGGCAUGUACCAAUGCCAUCUCACUAGACAAAAUAAUCAAUUUCAGUUCAUAAUUGAUCAUAAUGGUAGGAUUAAGUGUCAAAGGGAUCACAUAAACAAGACUAGUGUCUGCUAAUACUAACUGAUAGAAUUAAAAAAGAGAAAACAAUCCAACAUGGGAAGCAGGCUACACAGCAGACUCAUAGAAUGGCAGAUGUCCUAAACAGCACUCUGGCCUCAGAAUCAGCCCUUAGGCAUUUGGAUCCGGCUAAAAAGUCCAUGAGAGUAUUUCAGGCAUGGAAA
Non-coding RNA from Oryctolagus cuniculus (rabbit), 5540 nucleotides. The record is from RefSeq and is a predicted model, not a curated record. NCBI's taxonomy places the organism in Eukaryota, Metazoa, Chordata, Mammalia, Lagomorpha, Leporidae.